AAAGAAUUGAAUACCAUAGGCAGUUAAAUGAUUGCAUUUCUCUUAUGCAAUUACAUGGACACUCUGACUUAAUAUUUAUUUUACAUUUCCUUUACUUUCUCCAUCUCUUCUGUUCUUGUUGGAUUCAUAAUGGCAUAUUAUUGGCAAGUUUUCCUCAUUUUGAAGAUUGAUGCCCUUUGAUUUGCAACCUUUUCAUUAGGAGCUUAUUUAAAGUAAGUAU
This 220-nucleotide unclassified non-coding RNA is filed under the name Hevea brasiliensis (rubber tree). The record is from RNAcentral. Lineage: Eukaryota; Viridiplantae; Streptophyta; Magnoliopsida; Malpighiales; Euphorbiaceae.